UACAGAGGGUGCGAGCGUUAAUCGGAAUUACUGGGCGUAAAGGGCGCGUAGGCGGUCAUGUAAGUUGUAUGUGAAAUCCCUGGGCUUAACCUAGGAACUGCAUACAAGACUGUGUGACUGGAGUGCUGUAGAGGGUAGUGGAAUUUCCGGUGUAGCGGUGAAAUGCGUAGAUAUCGGAAGGAACACCAGUGGCGAAGGCGGCUACCUGGACAGACACUGACGCUGAGGCGCGAGAGCGUGGGGAGCAAACAGG
This 253-nucleotide ribosomal RNA is filed under the name uncultured bacterium. RNAcentral describes it as "partial 16S ribosomal RNA". It matches the Rfam family "Bacterial small subunit ribosomal RNA", at positions 524 to 776 of the family's 1533-position model. The record is from RNAcentral.